AGGUGUUGUUGUACCGGUGGGUUGCUCUUGGUGGUGAUGCAUGCCAGAGUUGAUCUAUUCAUGAGAUUCUCUAUGGAAGAAUAGAUAAAUCAUGCUCGAGGACACCAGCACACCAGCACGUACAGGCAUACGCAUACUUUGUUUCUUUCUUAGUACCAGGAUUAGGGGUAGUGGCCAUGCCUAAGGCGACUUCCAGUGUGGACCACAUUGCAAGUGGCGGCGGCGAUUUUGCAGAGCUUUGGCUCAAGUCAUUUUAUCCCUGUUUGGCGGUGUCCUUUCUUCAAGCAGGUUGCAUUCGGAGCAUGCUACAGGCAAUGGCGGAGAUUUUAAACAACUUGGGCUCAAAGCAUGGCAUCUGUGUUUGGCGGUGUCCUUUCUUCAAGCAAAUAAAUAUGUUUGUCUGAGGUGUUUGAUGAGGCUCUACGUGGUAGCCAUCCAACGUGACGUGUAGUGUUGUCCGGGCUUGAAGUCGUCUUUCUGGACCCGCCGCCUCCUCACCUACACCAGGUAGUCCAUGGUGGCUAGAGCAUCGGCACACCUGGACGAGACUGCAUCUCCCAGAACACUCUUUUGAAGGAGAGAUCAUUCAGCUUCUUUUUAUCACAGAAACACUCAAAACUAAGACCAUGAGGUAUUUGCAUAGACUGGCGUAACCGUCGAAAAAAUCAUUUUUUCUGGAGGUUCUUUUGCCAAUGCUUACUUCUGUGGAGCUUCAGCUUAUGCCAACUGGUCUAAUAGGAACAAAAUCGUGUAUCAUCCUUACAUACAAGCAUGGAAAGGAACAAAAUUUAUCUGGCCUUGAGGAUACGUGAUCAGUGGAUAUAUGCAGCUGCUUAUCAGUGGCUGUUGCCUUGUAGUCAUCCUCUGGGAUGGCUACGGCAUGAUGAGUACGGUGCCGGUGUGAGGUGCUCAGGCUGGUAGAUUUUGUUUUGGAAAUGUUCUGGGCGAUCGCUCUUCAUUUCAAAUGGGAUGGAGAUAAGCUAAAAAAAAAUCGAACAUACUACCGUCACGGUUCAUUGCUUAAUCAGUUGGAUUGUAGGUAAGAAUCUGUCCGUGUUUAGAUGUUUUGCUCGGUGCAUUUUGUUAUACGAUUUUUCAUUAAGUCUCAUAGUUCAUUUUGCGCCAUUGACUUCUAUAUAACCAUUGGCUUUGACUAAGGGUGCCUCCAACUGCUUUCUGUUGCUGAUAUGUCUAUAGUUGGUGACUCAUGCUUCCUAGCGAAGAAUAUGGUGAUUAGUGCAUGAUCCCUCCAGCACGCAGGAGGUCGUCAUGCAGAUUUGGUCUUUUGUUUGAUAAGAAAAGGUAUCAUUUGGACACGGGCAGAGGAGGUACAUUAGUGUGCAUUCAUUCUGUUAGCUAUGGUCAAUCGCAUACACAAAUAGUUUCUAUUAGCUUACUUAAUUAAUGUUCUUCUUUUCCAUUUAUUUGAUAUACUAAUCUCCAUUGUUUUUCAUUAAAUGGGAAGUGUAUAUUUGGAUAUUAUUUCCCUUAAAAGGGGAAUAUUUUGCUCAGAGAGAAUGGAAAUGGCGGGCGUUACAGUUAAAAAAACAGUUCAACCUAAUUGUUUCACUACUACCAUAUUUUUUUCUCUGUAAUCAUGUAAAUAUUAGAGUCAAUCUACUUUUAAUUGUUCUGUAUUUAUUUCUUACAGUUUGUUUUACUUAUUAAUCAUGACUUCAGGCCUAGAUUUUCAAUGGCAACUGUACUAUUUGUGCACAGACCAGGUAUGGACGAGUCAAGGACAUGUUGUCCACACGUUCAAGAAAUUUCUAUGAGCGACGCUCCGAAAAAAUCUGAAUAUAGCGUAAGUGAGUAAAUACUUAUCUUGAAUAAUAAGAUUGGACGCUCACCCAUGUCCUUUUUUGUUUACUUUUUAUUUAUAAAUUUGUCCAGUGUAACGAUUCUUCUCUCUACAAAUCCAAAAUUCGCUAAUCUCUUGAUUAACUAAAUAUUUAUUCUCUUCCUUUCUAUAUUCAGUAAGUAAAGCAUAUGAUUUAUCUGUCCAUGACAAUGAGGUAUUGGAAGCUCUAAGCUUGUGUGCACUACCAUUCAAUUUCUCCUGGUUUUCUUUGUGUAGUAUUUUGCAGGGAGUACAUGCAGAAUAUGUAUUUCCUGUAUAUGUUUUAUUUAUAGAACGUGAAUCAGUUCCUUUUAUUUACCUCAUGUAGCCUGAUGCAGUUAUUGUCAAGGGCAUAUAGGGCUCUCAUAGGACUGAUGCAAGAAAGUGAAGAGAAACAACAAGUUUUCUAUUGUAAAACACUCCAUUGCCACAUUCUCGCUCUGCACCAUCGUAUCCGCUAAUGUUAAUAAACUCAAUCUUCUAUUAGUAUAUGCGAUGCAUUUACGGGUUUGGAUUUCAUAUACUGAUAUACAUGCUAAUAUAUGUGAUGAAUGUAUGGGUUGGGUCUGCAAAAGAAAGAUCAACGCUAACUGUGCUUUACACUAAAAAACAAAUCUUUAAGAACUUUAUUAAAGAGGAACCGUUGUUUUGGUUUAGGUGUAGGAAAACAUAUUUGCUACUUGAAAGAGUAAUCUGGUCAUUUGUUAUUUUAUUUUUGGAUAGUGCAAGCUGAUUAGUGGAUAGUUCUCAUUGACUUUAUAGAUCAUGACUCAAACUGGGUACCUUUCUUAGGACAAUUGUCUAUCCUUUCCCGGGAUGGAGUUACUUAAAUUCACUAUCAAAGAUACUUGGAGAGACACAUAACUUAUGUGGUUAAUCAUAGAGAUGUUAAAGAUCUGUUCCGUACAAUAUAAGAUGGAUAUAACUUAGGUGAAUCCAUCUUUAACUAUUUACUUGAAAUGCAUAAUAUACCAGUGUUGGAUUAUGGUAUCUGCGUCACUUUUUAGUUCCUUGCAGUAUUGUUGGAUUCCUUUUUUCAUAAAAAAGUACAUGUCACCCCGUUAAAUUAAUCAAUAUUGUAUCUAUAGGAAAACAGACCAUGGUGUCUGCUGUCAUCUGCGAGCUGCUUGACAUGGAGUCCAUGCCAACAACAAGAUGCACUUCGGCGGCAUCGGCUCCAAACUAAAGGCUUGGAUCAUGUGGCAGAUUUGAGUUUUCUCUGAUCAUGUGGUAACUUGUGGAAGGUUUUAGAGGUCAGGACGCUUCGUGCUUGAAACUAUAGAAUAACAACUCAAAAUGUAAAGCACAUUCAGUUUGAGCAAAUAAAUAGGCUCUCAUGUAGUCAUGUUAAAAUAUAUUGAUUUGGCAUGCUACAACAUCAAGAUUUAUUCAUGAUAUUCUUGAGCAUCAAUUUUAGAACAUAGUUAAGUUACCCGUCUUUUUUGUUAAUGGGUAGCUCUGAAAAAAUAUAGGUCACUAUUUCUUGCAAAACAUUCUCACACCUUUGUCUAUCUGAUGCAUAAUUAUGGAACGCUGUUUCUUGCGCAACUUCUUCAAUCUUCGAUGCUUAAUUAUGGAUCAUUGUUUCUUGCAAUUCUUCUUCACGCUUUUUUUCUGUAUAAUUAUAAUUAUGCAUCAUUAUUUCUUGCAUAACUUAUUCACGUUUUUUUGUCUAUCUAAUGCUUCAUUAUGGAUCAUGCCGCUUGCAUACCUUAGCUCCUACUCUGGCAAUACCUCUGCAGGAUACAAUUAUGUGUUGCUUCCUGAUUACAGAAGGGGCAUAGAGAAGAUAUGGCUUCUUAACCUUGCUGGCCCAUUCUCUGUCAACUACGGAGAAGAUACCCAAGGAAAUCUAUCUCCAAGACAUUGGAUGGUAUUGGAGGAGGAAGAAGGUUUGGCUGGAGCACCUGAGCCGUGGCAACCAUGAAGGAGCUGCUGAGACAUUGGAUGGUAUUGGAGGUGGAAGAGAAGGUUUGGCUGGAGUACCUGAUGAGCUGUGGCAGCCAGGAAGGAGCUGGUGCUGCACGAAGGCGGAGCUGGAGAAUGCAGAGACGGUGGAAAUGGAGUCGUAGCCUGCUCAAAUACAGGACCAACUAUUACAAAAUAAGAGAUGCUCCCUGUUAGUACAUAUGUGAAUAAUCCUUUUGGUUUCUGUACAAGGUAUCUUCCUAGCUAUUACAUAUGAAUUGGUAUAUUGCAUACUAACGAGAGAUUUGAUAAUUUUUAAUGAUGUGUUACUCA
This is a long non-coding RNA of Lolium rigidum, 4081 nucleotides long. RefSeq lists it as uncharacterized. The transcript has 10 exons. The record is from RefSeq and is a predicted model, not a curated record. Lineage: Eukaryota; Viridiplantae; Streptophyta; Magnoliopsida; Poales; Poaceae.